Molecule: unclassified non-coding RNA, 5671 nt
Filed under: Dimorphilus gyrociliatus
Lineage: Eukaryota; Metazoa; Annelida; Polychaeta; Dinophilidae
Description: dgyrCDS11955
Source: RNAcentral
CAUAAAUAUAUGUAUAUCUUUCUUUCUAUUUAAUUUCCUCUGUCUUGUUUAUACAUAUAUAUAUACUGGAUAUAUGCGCAUACCUAUGCCAUAUACUGUAUAUGUAUAUAUAUAUAAGAAAAUGAGUAUAAACCCUAGAAUAUACCAUUAUGAUGUGUACACUAUACAUUUUCGAUAUUAAAAUAAGAACUUCUCUCUAAACGAAGAGUACGUACUGUAUGUAUCAGCUUUUGCAAGUGCAUUUAGUCGUGUUUCAUAGACAGAAAAAAAAAAUUAAUAUAUCUAUAUAAACAUAUUGUUUAUAUGUAUUUGUUUGUAUAGAUAUGCUGUUUAUAUAUAUAUCCACAUAUACAAUGUAUUAGUAUAUAUUUUCCUCGGGAUGGGAAAAGUAUAUACUAGAAUAUACGUGUAUAUAUAUAUAUAAUUACAGACUUUCUUUAUAUAUUUAGUAAACCUAUCAUAUAUGCAUACAGAAUGUACACUACCGAUAUAAAGGAGUAUAGGAUAGCUAUAAACGAAUUAUACACGAUCGCAAUAAGUUCGAUAUCAGGAAAGAUAGUCCAUAAAUAGGUAAUUUUAAUAGAGAGUAUAGUGUCUACAUCUAUUUUUUAAUGAAAUAUACGGUAUGUAUUUAUAAAUUUAUACCCAAAUAUGUAUGUUAGCCUAUAUAUAAGAUUAUCGAUUUUUCCUUUCACAAUUUCCUCAUAUUUAUUGCACGAUCUGUUUCAUAAAGGGAUAGAAGAGUAUACAUUUUUAUAUAAAUUAUUAGAUUACGUGCAAGAAAAUUUAUUCUUGCAACAAGCAUUUAUGCUAAGCCAAUUAAUAACUAUAAAUAUUCAUAUAUGCGCAUAUGCACAUAUUUCAUUUGCAUAUAUAAGAACAAUUUUUUGGGUUGAUAAUUAUAAAGAAUUAAAGGAAUUGCUUUUCUAUAUAUAUGUAAUGCCGUUGUGUAAAAAUACGAAUAAAGUAAAUAUACUAACUUAGAGGAAUUAUUAUUAUAUACAUAAGGACAUUAUUUUAUGAAACACACUACCUUCCGAAUAGAUAGAGGGUACUAUAAAUUAUGUAUUAUGAUUGCUAUAUGUUCACUAAAACAUCCUUUGCAGACAAUGCUUGCUGCGAAACGUAAUUCGAAUUUGCGUUCGACGUUCGCCGCCAGGGCAUCUUUAUUCGAUGAGGAACUGGUGAGUGGUAAAAUAAUAGGGAAACGGGAGGGAAAAUAAAAGGAUAGCGAAGGGUUUUUGGGGGUUAAGAGUGAUGAAAAUAUUUUGUGGUAUGCGACAGCACGAGUAGCGGUUAUCUGCAUGUAUAAUUUUCUUCCACCACUCCGAUUUAUGUACCGGGAGCCAAUUCGACGAAUUAAGUCGGAGCGACUACAGGGAAUUUGGUCGUUCUCUUUUCAUAUCGAUUAUACGAAUAGGUCGACUAGAAUAUAUUUCCGCCUUUUUCUCUAAACGCGCGCCUCGCUUAGCAACCUAUUUUGAUUUUUGUCGACACCUCAGCCGGAAAUCGAUUAAACAUUUAGGAGGCGAGAAAAAAUUACACAUUGGACUUUUUUCGUAUAUUAUUUUCUGUCGCAUUUACAUUAUUCUACUCACAUUACGCCCAUUCCCUAACGGAUGGUAGUAGUACCAAUCUAUGUGUUUACUCUCUUUUUCCUUUAUAUCUAAGCGUUAUGAAAUAUAAAUGUCGAUUGUUUACAAAAACUCAUUUCGUGAUGUUUACGAAACGAAAGUAGACUUUGAGUAGUUUUUAACUCUUUACAAAACGCGAUUAACGUCAGUGUCUCAUCAGUACAAGAACGCGCUUGUAAACAUUCAAUAAUGUAUCAAAGAUGACAAAGGAGCACGCGCUGUUACCUUGUACCUUUUGGAAUACAUAUUUACACUGUAAUGAAUACUUGUAUAUACAGAAAUCUCACGUCUACAAAAAGACGCUUCAAGCGUUAAUCUAUCCGAUUUCAUCUAGUACCCCGCAUAACUUCCACAUUUGGACAGCUACUUCUCCGACCUUUUGCUUCGAAUGCGGUGGUUUGCUUUGGGGUUUGGCUAGGCAAGGGUUGCGUUGUAGCGAAUGUAACGUCAAAUGUCACGAACGAUGUAAAGACCUUCUUAACGCCGAUUGCCUCCAAAGAGCGGCCCAAAAGAGCUCGAAGCACGGCUGUGAAGAUCGGACCCAGAAUCUGAUUACUGCAAUGAAAGAGCGUAUGGACGAAAGGGAACGCAACAAUCCGGAAAUAUUUGAAUUGAUGCGGUAUAGAAAUUUAGAAUAGAAUUCUUUCUUCCUUUCUUCUUUAGUUUCUUUUCUAUUGAGUAUAUUAUAUAGUUGAUCAAUGAUCGUUGAUCGUUUCGAUUUGUAUAUACAGCAAAUUGUUUGGUAUGGAUGAAAAAAUUCAUGUCGGCCACAUGAAAGCUAUCAAGCAAAAUGUACUAGACGGAACUUCAAAGUGGUCUGCUAAAAUUACUAUCACAGUAAUUAGCGCUCAAGGGCUAAUUGGCAAGGACAAAACGGGAACAAGCGACCCCUAUGUAACGGUUCAAGUUGGUAAGAUAAGGAAGAGAACAAGGACUGUUGCUCAAAAUUUAAAUCCGAUCUGGAACGAGAAGUUUUACUUCGAAUGCCAUAACUCCUCAGACCGUAUCAAGAUACGAGUAUGGGAUGAAGAUAAUGAUUUAAAAUCGAAAUUGAGGCAGAAAUUAACAAGGGAAUCGGAUGAUUUUCUGGGUCAGACUAUAGUGGACGUUAGGACUUUAUCGGGUGAAAUGGAUGUCUGGUAUAAUUUAGAAAAACGGACGGAUAAGUCGGCUGUAUCCGGAUCGAUUCGUUUACAGUUGAGCGUUGCGAUAAAAGGCGAAGAGAACGCGGCUCCAUAUCACGUCCAAUACACGUGCCUUCAUCAGAAUCUCUUCCAUUACCUGAAUGAACUUAACUCUGGUGUCGUUCGUUUACCUAAAGCGAAAGGUGAUGGUGCUUGGAAAAUAUACUUUGAGGAACCUGCUCAAGAGGUUAUAGACGAAUUUUCUAUGAGAUACGGAAUCGAAUCGAUUUAUCAAGCUAUGACCCACUUCAGUUGCUUAUCGACCAAGUACACGUCGACGGGCGUUCCAGCAGUUCUCUCGACGCUCUUGGCCCAAAUUAACUCUUUUUACGUACACAAUUCGGUUUCCGAUCGUUUUGCCGCUUCUAAUUUUGGUAAAGAAAAGUUCAUAAAGCUUUUAGAUCAAUUACACAACUCCGUCCGAAUUGACUUAUCAGUUUAUCGGAAUACGUUUCCUGCAUCCGACCGUGCGAGGCUAGCAGAUUUGAAGUCUAUAGUGGAUCUCUUAACUUCCAUCUCAUUCUUCCGUCUUAAAGUCCAGCGUAUAGCUCUUGCUGACAGAGCAUCCGUAGUAGUUACAGAAUGUGUCAAAGCUUGCGCAAAGUCUACAUAUCAAUUCCUUUUCGAUAAUUGCUUUGAUUUGUAUCAUCGAGAGAGGUCGGAGAGCGUAGAGGAUGAUGACGACAGCAAAAACGGCCCAAGCGGCAAAACUUUAUUCUUCUGGAACAAAUUAAUAUCUUUGAUAGUAGCAGUUAUCGAAGAAGAUAGACAGGUUUACUCAAAAGCCGUUUGUCAGUUCCCACAUGAAUUAAACGUAGGUCAAGUAUCGGCCAACGCGAUUUGGCAACUAUUCUCGCAGGAUGUCAAAUUUGCCCUCGAGCAGCACGUGAUGGAGAAUCAACCCUGCAAAUCUAGCGACUACAUGAACUUGCACUUUAAGGUUAAAGGACUUUUUUCAGUAUAUGUAGAUCCAAAUAAUCAGUCUAAAACUGUAUUGGACUACCCCUUGUGGUUCGAACCUUUCGUUCUUAAAUGGUUAGAUGAGAGUGAAGAAAAUUCCACUGGUGUAGUCAGAGCGGCGUAUCGAAGAGAUAAGACAGAGGGAUUUCAAAAAACAUCGGAUAUUGUUCUCUUUUCCUGUUCUGUAACGGAUAUAUUCACUCAGCUUAAUCAGUGCUUUAGCGUAAUCAACAAACUGGAUUGCCCUCAUCCCCAAGUCGAAGCGAGAUAUAUGCGAAAAUUUUCCCAAACCGUUUGCAAAGUUCUAUUAGGAUAUACUCAAUCUCUUAAAGCUGAUUUUGACCAUUUUGCCAAUCAGCAGAGGGUUGCUUGUACAUUAAUCAAUAACAUACAGCAAUUGAGAAUACAAUUAGAAAAGUUAUUUGGCUUAAUGGGCGGCGUUAAUUUGGAUGACAGCGUUAAGGCUUCCCUGACUAAUUUGCAGCAAUAUCUGAAUGGUGUUAUUGACGAACUAGCUGUUAAAUUUACCAGAACAAUGCAAGGGGCUGUUGAAAAGUCGAUAAGGGAGGUUGGAAUAGAACUGGAAAAAGUUAAAGGAUUAAAGGCCAUGCGUACGCAAGCUCAACAUGAAGUAGAUGUUGUACUCAGACCCUUGAUAGAAGUGCUGGACUCUUACUUAUCGGCUUUUACUGAUCUUUGUGAAAAGACUGUGUUCAAGAGGAUAUUGAAAGAGUUAUGGAGGAUUGUUGUAUUCUCGCUAGAGAAAACAAUCGUUCUCCCACCCGUCUCAGAGCCUAAGCAGAAUUUCCCCACCCCGUCAAACGCUCAAACAAAAUUAGAAGAUGUCUCUCGCUCUAUUAUACGCAAUGUCACUCAACAGGCGUCCAGAAUGUCUAUAUCCAUUAUUCAGGAAUUGGCGGCUGACUUCCAAAAUACCUUAUCCCCGAAGCAGUGUUCCGUUGUAGAAAUGGCUCUGAAAACUGUAAAGGAUUACUUUCACGCGAAUGGACAAGGUCUUAAGAAGACCUUUCUGGAAAAAUCCCCAGAAUUGAAGUCUUUAAAAUACGCUCUCAGCCUGUACUCCCAAACUACCGACGCGUUAUUGAAAACUUUCGUUGCUACUCAGGCCAAUCAGGUUUUAAUACGCGAAGAAGAAGAGGAAGAGGAAUUAAUGGGUGAAAUUUCUAUCCAUAUCGACCUUCUAACACAUCCAGGAACGGGGGAAAGGAAGGUAGCCAUUAAAGUUGUUGCAGCUAACGGUCUGAAGUGGAGAUCAUCCGGUGUGUUUAAACCUUUCGUUCAGAUUAACCUAAUUGGGCCUUUUCUAUCGAACAAAAGGCGUAAGGUAGCUACAAAGAGUAAAGCAAAUUGUUGGACACCUAAAUUUGAUGAAAAAUUUCACUUCGUCGUCGGUAAUGAAGAGGAUUUAGAAUCGUACGAACUGCAGAUUACUGUAAAAGACUAUUGUUUUGCAAGGGAAGAUCGGAUUAUUGGAGUUGGUGUUUUACAAUUAAAAGAUAUAGUUGAACAAGGCUCCUGCGCUCUGUGGUGUUCCCUAGGUAGAAGAAUAUCACUAAACGAUACCGGUUGGACAAUUUUACGAAUUCUAGCACAGAGAACUAGCGACGAAGUGGCUCAGGAAAUAGUAAAGUUAAAAACUGAAAUAAGACAUAGUGAAGAAAUAACUUAGAUGCGCCAUCUUUCGUUGUAAACCUGCAUAAGAAAAACAAACUACAUGCAUUAUAAAAAAUAAAAAAUACUGCAUGUUUUGUUUUUUUAUUAGUUUUUUUUUACCUGAGGUAGCUAGCUAAUUAAAUCUUUUCCUCAACCUUUUAUGCAAAAAAUGCUUAAUUCAUUGAAGUAAUUUGGUGCUAUCUGUUGUUUUCUUACCAU